CAGGGAAUAGUUUGCUUUCCCGUUUUCUCCGGACGUCAAAAGCAAAAGGACAUCGGCUGUUGUGUCAUCUCAACGUAAGUCUGCUUCGUGUUCGCUUCACUCACUCCUCACCUCUCGGUCCUCGCUUUUGGCUUCUCUUUUCCUCUUCCUUUCUACUUCAAAGUGUCCCACUUUUUUUACAGGAGAUGUGGCCACGCAGCUGGCCUGCAAGUUACCUGUCUGCGUCUCUGUGUUGUGCUCUCUGAUUGGCUGUGUGUCUCCCUGCUAUCAUGGCUGAUAGAGUUUGAAGCAGAUCAAAAACUUAAAAGCAGAGCUGUCUCUUGGUUUAGCGGCAUUAUUCUGAAAGUAGUAUGGGGAUGUGGAACUGCUCUGCAUUUUUUAAAGAUUAACCACACAUUGAAAUUCGGUUUUAAAGCAUCUCAAAAUAACAAUACAUCGGCGGCUGAUGCGUGCCGUCUCCUUUCAAUUGGGUUAAACUGACGCUGACCUUCUGAGAUAAAUAGAGACCCCCCCCUAAAAAAAAUCCAUAAAUCCAUGAUUCAAAGGUUGAUUAUGUAAAAAACAACAACCCACAAAUACGAAUAUCUGUAUUGCAAAGGGGAAAAAAAAAAAUCGUUUUUCACACACAAGGGUUCCUCCUUGGCCAAUCACGUUUCGUUAUCAUUUUCUGGGAAAUGGGGAGAGGAGACGAGGAAUGAGGAAGUAAGUAGGAGAGACUGUUUCCGUUGACAUCAUACUGUGGCCUUGUCAUAUGUGAAACAUCGAGGACUGUUCAGACACUGAAAUGUCUGUUUUAAUCAACUGAAAUCAGAAACUUCUAAUUUGCACAAAUUAAAAAAAGGUUUAGCGCAGCCACAGUCACUUCAAAAUGACCAGUGGUGGGCCAGAUGUGCAAAGGUGAGAAAGUGGGCCAGGAUCCUCUCUCAGAAGCUCCUUUUUAUUAUUUACACAGUAACGUCCUUCACUUUUCAUUUGUACAACGCCGUGAACACUUUAGAUCACAGACGCCAUUGUUUCCCUCUGAGAGGGACCAUUUUGGCCCGCCUGAUGGCCAUGGAAAUUAAACCACUAGUCUUGUCGGGAACUAAUGCAUAGGUCACAGGAGGAAGUUGCUUUUUUGACAUAUAUAGGGUAAAUAAAGAAAAUCUUCACUAUAUUCCCUGAAGUAAGUCUGGCAGCAGAAGUUGGGAUCCAAGUUUUCAUAGGAAUAAUUUCCUCUAUAAUUAAUGGUUCUAUUAAUGGUUUCUUUCAUCAUGAGUUGAGUCAGGUAAUACAAAUUCGGUUUUAUUUCUUCACGUUUGGUCAACAUCUGAAUGAACAGAAAGAAAACUCACCGUCAGCUGCUCCUCAGGCCGUAUAAACUGUACUUGGAUAAAGGACAUCAGGCAGUUUGAAUGUUUAAAUGCAAAUGUGCUCCUUGCACGGAAAUGGAGUGCUGGAAUUCUGCUGUGUAAAGGAAAAGGAAAGAAAAACCCUGACGGAUAAAGGAAGGAUGGUUAAAGACACAAAGGGAUUUAAUAAAGGAGCCAAAGAGGAUCGGAGGGAUGUAGCGCAUAGGUGACUGUGUGCAAUCAAAAACCCCAUGAUCCGGCUGAGCGAGAACAGACGAGAGUUUCCUAACACCGCUGCGAGUCCUGACACGAUGCUGGGUUGUGACACCGAGCCUGGGAUGGGAUCGCGGAACAGGGAGUGAGUCUCAACCCAGAAAAACGGGAUUCCACUCUCACUCCCUGCUCACGGAGCAACAUACCACCCCGAGAGUUUCCCACGAGAAAAACCUCGGGCGUUUUUCGGUCCGGGAGGAACACAAAAAAAGAGAGCGGCACAGAUGAGGGAGACGGGGAGAUAGACAUAUAGAUACAUGCAAUGCGCAGCAGCAUGGGAACACUAGGGGCAUGUUUCGAUGUAUCCCAGGUGGGCAGGGUGGGCGUGACACUCAGACACUUCCAGGCAGACUGAUAGUCGGGGGGGGAUUAAGUGUGAGAUUCAUGAGAAAAAAUGCUAGAUAGGAAUCAGCUGGCCACUUCUGGACCAAAGUUUUCACAACUGUCAACUGAGCUCGGAGAGAGUCGAGAAAACACCUGAGUCAACGUGAUGGUGAAAUGCACCCCUGCUGCGUGUGGACAAAAGCAAGACGCGCUCGCACUAAAUGCCAAGGUGCGGUUCACCUGCUGCAUCUCAUGUGACCCACUAAAGUACCUGGAAUUGCCGGUGACGUGACUUUUUUUUUCUUUUUCUUUUUUCUCAUCUUCCCGUCUUCCUCCCAACGCCUCCAUCCAUCCCUCGCCGGGAGGACAGAGUCAUGGCUGUCAAACCUGUUCUUUGUCUGCGUUUACCAGCUGGGUCGGGAGGGACGUGUUUCCUUCGCCGCCUCUGCUCUGCUCCUUUAAAGGGACAUUAUUGUGAGCUACACUGACAGGAUGGCAGGUUGUGGUAAAGGCCCCAUGUGGACCUGAGGCCUUACAGUGAAGGAUCUGCUCUUAUUGCUGCUCCAUCUCUUGUGCAAACACAAGCAAGAGACGCUUUCAGGUGUUUGCACAGCUACAUCCUGUUCCAGAGAGUCCCCCACCAACACACACAGACACACACACACACACACACACACCCAUACCACAGAAUGUACUGUAAGUUCACCCUAGUGGCAAAGACAAAACCAUACCUUUGCAUGAAGUGCUUCUCUUAAGUAACAGGGGCCAGGUAAAUAUUGCUGCUGGUUCAGGCUUCUGAAGGAUGUUUUCAUAAAGCUUUGCCUUUGAUUUACAAUAGGAAAGAUAAGUACUUUUUAUUUGUGCUGUAAAGGUUUGAUUGUUGUCUGUGGGGAUAAAGAAAGCAGUUUGGUUUUAAUAUUUAGAUUUUGAUGAAUACUCUUUAGAUGAUGAGUAGCAUUCAGUGCUCUUUAUGACUUUAGGGGGAAAACAAUAUCAGUGGCAAACUAUUGUUCAAUGUCCAGUCUCUGUAAUAACUCCCCACCCUCUCCGUCAUCCACUGUGUUUGACCCUGACAUGUACAGUAAAAGAUGUCUUUUUGACAAAAUACACAUCAUGUCUUUAUCCUCUAAUACAAACACUGAAAUGAAACAGAUUUAAUUUUGACUUGUGCAUAUUUUUCACUCCUUUGUAACUGUAUGAAAAAUAAAUCAGAAUUGCGCACAUAUUCACAUAUGUUUGCAGCAAUGAAUCAAAAGUA
This is a long non-coding RNA of Scophthalmus maximus (turbot), 3186 nucleotides long. RefSeq lists it as uncharacterized. The transcript has 2 exons. The record is from RefSeq and is a predicted model, not a curated record. NCBI's taxonomy places the organism in Eukaryota, Metazoa, Chordata, Actinopteri, Pleuronectiformes, Scophthalmidae.